This 1930-nucleotide ribosomal RNA is filed under the name human gut metagenome. RNAcentral describes it as "bacterial LSU rRNA". It matches the Rfam family "Bacterial large subunit ribosomal RNA", at positions 500 to 2438 of the family's 2925-position model. The record is from RNAcentral.
ACCGUGAGGGAAAGGUGAAAAGCACUUCGAACAGAAGAGUGAAAUAGUUCCUGAAACCGUGCGCCUACAAGCGGUCGGAGCUCGUUAAUGAGUGACGGCGUGCCUUUUGCAUAAUGAACCUACGAGUUGCCUUUGCCGGCAAGGUUAAGUGUGACGACACACGUAUCCGAAGCGAAAGCGAGUCUGAAUAGGGCGUAUAGUCGGCAGUGGCAGACGCGAAACCAAGUGAUCUACCCUUGGCCAGGUUGAAGGCUGGGUAACACCAGCUGGAGGACCGCACCAAUAAGCGUUGAAAAGCUUCUGGAUGAGCUGAGGGUAGGGGUGAAAGGCUAAUCAAACUUGGAGAUAGCUCGUACUCCCCGAAAUGCAUUUAGGUGCAGCCUUGCGGGUUACUGAUGUGAGGUAGAGCGACUGAUAAGAUGCGAGGGCUUCACCGCCUAUCAAGUCUUGACAAACUCCGAAUGCGCAUCAGUUCUACCGCAGGAGUGAGGGCAUGGGUGCUAAGGUCCGUGCCCGAGAGGAGAAGAAUCCGGACCACCUGCUAAGGUCCCGAAAUGACAGCUAAGUUAAACUAACGAAGUCUGACUGCUAAGACAGCUAGGAUGUUGGCUUGGAAGCAGCCAUUCAUUUAAAGAGUGCGUAACAGCUCACUAGUCGAGGAGUCGGGCGUGGAUAAUAAUCGGGUAUCAAGUUGUCUACCGAAGCAGUGGGAUCAUUGAUAUGAUCGGUAGGGGAGCAUUCCAGUCAGCGUCGAAGGCGUACCGUGAGGUAUUCUGGAGCGUCUGGAAAAGCAAAUGUAGGUAUAAGUAACGAUAAAGGGGGCGGGAAACCCCCUCGCCGAAAGACUAAGGUUUCCUGAUCAACGCUAAUCGGAUCAGGGUCAGUCGGGUCCUAAGGCUCAGCCGAACGGCGAUGCCGAUGGCAGAAACGGUUAAUAUUCCGUUACUACCUUCAGGAGUGACGUGGAGACGCAGUAGUGACAGUGCCGCCAUCUGACGGAAUAGAUGGUUGAAGGGUGUAGGAGUCGAUCAUGGCAGGCAAAUCCACCAUGAGAUCCGAACCUGAUAGUAUGCCGCGUCCUUCGGGACAAGGCAAUAGUGCGCGUAAGCAUGCUGCCGAGAAAAUCCGCUAAACUUAAUCCUGCAGGUACCCGUACCGCAAACGGACACACGUAGUCGGGUUGAAUAUACUAAGGCGCUUGAGUGAUUCACGGUUAAGGAACUAGGCAAACUGACCCUGUAACUUCGGGAUAAAGGGUCCCUACCCUUUUAUGGGAGGGCGCAGAGAAUCGGUCCAGGCAACUGUUUAACAAAAACACAGGGCUGUGCCAAAUCGAAAGAUCCAGUAUACAGCCUGACACCUGCCCGGUGCUGGAAGGUUAAGAGGAGAUGUCAUCGAUAAGAGAAGCGUUGAAUUGAAGCCCCAGUAAACGGCGGCCGUAACUAUAACGGUCCUAAGGUAGCGAAAUUCCUUGUCGGGUAAGUUCCGACCUGCACGAAUGGUGUAAUGAUCUGGACGCUGUCUCAACCGUGAGCUCAGUGAAAUUGUAGUAUCGGUGAAGAUGCCGAUUACCCGCGAUGGGACGAAAAGACCCCGUGAACCUUUACUAUAGCUUAUCAUUGAAUCUGGGCACGUGAUGUGUAGGAUAGGUCGGAGGCUUUGAAGCAGGUACGCCAGUAUUUGUGGAGCCGCUGUUGAAAUACGACCCUUUAUUUGUUUGGAUUCUAACCCGUGGAACGGGGACAUUGAUUGGUGGGUAGUUUGACUGGGGUGGUCGCCUCCAAAAGCGUAACGGAGGCUUCUAAAGGUGCCCUCCGGCCGAUUGGUAACCGGCCUUAGAGUGUAAUGGCAUAAGGGCGCUUGACUGGGAGACUGACAAGUCGAUCAGGUAGGAAACUAGAGCAUAGUGAUCCGGUGUUUCCGUAUGGAA